Bombus impatiens (common eastern bumble bee) is the source of this 193-nucleotide long non-coding RNA. RefSeq lists it as uncharacterized. Lineage: Eukaryota; Metazoa; Arthropoda; Insecta; Hymenoptera; Apidae. The transcript is spliced from 3 exons. The record is from RefSeq and is a predicted model, not a curated record.
UCAAUUUUGUAAAGGUUUGAUCACGAAACUAAUACGUAUUAGACAUUCGGACUGCAUCAAAUUCUUUAUUCUACAAAAGCGCAUGUAAAUUAGGAGUAAAAAGAAGCAAAUCGAUGUGCCAGCAAUCGUGAAUGUUGAAGAAGCAGUCGAUUCUUGGUAAACAUUAGUGUUUCUAGACGAACCAUUUGUUCAA